This 540-nucleotide signal recognition particle RNA is filed under the name Callithrix jacchus (white-tufted-ear marmoset). RNAcentral's name for it is "Metazoan signal recognition particle RNA (ENSCJAG00000074672.1)". It matches the Rfam family "Metazoan signal recognition particle RNA". From Rfam's summary of the family: The signal recognition particle (SRP) is a universally conserved ribonucleoprotein. It is involved in the co-translational targeting of proteins to membranes. The eukaryotic SRP consists of a 300-nucleotide 7S RNA and six proteins: SRPs 72, 68, 54, 19, 14, and 9. The record is from Rfam by way of RNAcentral. Lineage: Eukaryota; Metazoa; Chordata; Mammalia; Primates; Cebidae.
ACCGGGCACAGUGGCUCAUGCCUGUAAUCCCAGCACUUUGGGAGGCCGAGGCAGGCAGAUCAGGAGGUCAAGAGAUCAAGACCAUUCUGGCCAACAUGGUGAAACCCCGUCUCUACUAAAACUACAAAACUUAGCUGGGUGUGGAGGCACGUACGUGUAGUGGGAGGCUGAGGUGGGACAAUCGCUCGAAUGCAGGAGAAUCACUUGAACUUGGGAGGUGGAGGUUGCAAUGAGCCGAGAUCACACCACUGCAUUCCAGCCUGGCAAUAGAGUGAGACUCCAUCUCGAGAGAGAGGGAGAGAGAGAGAGAGAGAGAGAGAGAGAGAGAGAGAGAGAGAGAGAUUGGGUGUCUGCACUAAGUUUGGCAUCAAUAUGGUGAUGUCCCGGGAGAGGGGAACCACCAGGUUGCCUAAGGAGAGGUGAACCGGCCCAGGUCAGAAAUGGAGCAGGUCAAAACUCUGGUACUGAUCAGUAGUGGGAUCAUGCCUGUGAAUAGCCACUGCACUCCAGCCUGGGCAACAUAGUGAGACCCUGUCUCUA